CCCUUAGAUGUUCUGGGCAGCACGCGCGCUACAAUGGUCUUCGCAAACGGAUGCAUUCUCGAAGGAGAAUGCCAAGCUUGGAAUCUAUGCCUUGGUCGGGACAGUUGCUUGCAAUUUUUCGACUCGAACCAGGAAUUCCUUGUAAUCGUGAUUCAUCACAUCACGAUGAAUACGUCCCUGCCCUUUGUACACACCGCCCGUCGCUCCUACCGAUCGAAGAGUUAGGUGAAUUGUUUUGAUCGAUAAGAUUUGACUAUGGUCAACUCUCGUUGUGAAAUUCUGUGAAUCUGACUGUUUAGAGGAAGGAAAAGUCGUAACA
Molecule: ribosomal RNA, 319 nt
Filed under: uncultured eukaryote
Lineage: Eukaryota
Description: partial 18S ribosomal RNA
Rfam family: Eukaryotic small subunit ribosomal RNA
Source: RNAcentral